This 1512-nucleotide ribosomal RNA is filed under the name Ruminococcus bicirculans (ex Wegman et al. 2014). RNAcentral's name for it is "bacterial SSU rRNA". It matches the Rfam family "Bacterial small subunit ribosomal RNA". The record is from RNAcentral. Lineage: Bacteria; Bacillati; Bacillota; Clostridia; Eubacteriales; Oscillospiraceae.
UUAAUUAAGAGUUUGAUCCUGGCUCAGGACGAACGCUGGCGGCACGCUUAACACAUGCAAGUCGAACGAGAGAAGAGGAGCUUGCUUUUCUGAUCUAGUGGCGGACGGGUGAGUAACACGUGAGCAAUCUGCCUUUCAGAGGGGGAUACCGAUUGGAAACGAUCGUUAAUACCGCAUAAUAUAAUUGAACCGCAUGAUUUGAUUAUCAAAGAUUUAUCGCUGAAAGAUGAGCUCGCGUCUGAUUAGCUAGUUGGUAAGGUAACGGCUUACCAAGGCGACGAUCAGUAGCCGGACUGAGAGGUUGAUCGGCCACAUUGGGACUGAGACACGGCCCAGACUCCUACGGGAGGCAGCAGUGGGGAAUAUUGCACAAUGGAGGAAACUCUGAUGCAGCGAUGCCGCGUGAGGGAAGAAGGUUUUAGGAUUGUAAACCUCUGUCUUCAGGGACGAAAAAAGACGGUACCUGAGGAGGAAGCUCCGGCUAACUACGUGCCAGCAGCCGCGGUAAUACGUAGGGAGCGAGCGUUGUCCGGAAUUACUGGGUGUAAAGGGAGCGUAGGCGGGAUCGCAAGUCAGAUGUGAAAACUAUGGGCUUAACCCAUAAACUGCAUUUGAAACUGUGGUUCUUGAGUGAAGUAGAGGUAAGCGGAAUUCCUAGUGUAGCGGUGAAAUGCGUAGAUAUUAGGAGGAACAUCAGUGGCGAAGGCGGCUUACUGGGCUUUAACUGACGCUGAGGCUCGAAAGCGUGGGGAGCAAACAGGAUUAGAUACCCUGGUAGUCCACGCCGUAAACGAUGAUUACUAGGUGUGGGGGGACUGACCCCUUCCGUGCCGCAGCAAACGCAAUAAGUAAUCCACCUGGGGAGUACGACCGCAAGGUUGAAACUCAAAGGAAUUGACGGGGGCCCGCACAAGCAGUGGAGUAUGUGGAUUAAUUCGAAGCAACGCGAAGAACCUUACCAGGUCUUGACAUCGUAUGCAUAGCUCAGAGAUGAGUGAAAUCUCUUCGGAGACAUAUAGACAGGUGGUGCAUGGUUGUCGUCAGCUCGUGUCGUGAGAUGUUGGGUUAAGUCCCGCAACGAGCGCAACCCUUACUGUUAGUUGCUACGCAAGAGCACUCUAGCAGGACUGCCGUUGACAAAACGGAGGAAGGUGGGGAUGACGUCAAAUCAUCAUGCCCCUUAUGACCUGGGCCUCACACGUACUACAAUGGCUGUAAACAGAGGGAUGCAAAGCCGCGAGGUGGAGCGAACCCCUAAAAGCAGUCUUAGUUCGGAUUGUAGGCUGCAACCCGCCUACAUGAAGUCGGAAUUGCUAGUAAUCGCAGAUCAGCAUGCUGCGGUGAAUACGUUCCCGGGCCUUGUACACACCGCCCGUCACGCCAUGGGAGUCGGUAACACCCGAAGCCUGUAGUCUAACCGCAAGGAGGACGCAGUCGAAGGUGGGAUUGAUGACUGGGGUGAAGUCGUAACAAGGUAGCCGUAUCGGAAGGUGCGGCUGGAUCACCUCCUUU